AGAGCGAACGCUGGCGGCAGGCCUAAUACAUGCAAGUCGAACGGAUCCUUCGGGAUUAGUGGCGGACGGGUGAGUAACACGUGGGAACGUACCCUUUGGUUCGGAACAACUCAGGGAAACUUGAGCUAAUACCGAAUGUGCCCUUCGGGGAAAAGAUUUAUCGCCAUUGGAGCGGCCCGCGUCUGAUUAGCUAGUUGGUAGGGUAAAGGCCUACCAAGGCUACGAUCAGUAGCUGGUCUGAGAGGAUGAUCAGCCACACUGGGACUGAGACACGGCCCAGACUCCUACGGGAGGCAGCAGUAGGGAAUCUUGCGCAAUGGGCGAAAGCCUGACGCAGCCAUGCCGCGUGAAUGAUGAAGGUCUUAGGAUUGUAAAAUUCUUUCAGCGGGGACGAUAAUGACGGUACCGCAGAAGAAGCCCGGCUAACUCGUGCCAGCAGCCGC
RNAcentral lists this ribosomal RNA (443 nucleotides) under uncultured bacterium. RNAcentral's name for it is "SSU rRNA". It matches the Rfam family "Bacterial small subunit ribosomal RNA", at positions 26 to 518 of the family's 1533-position model. The record is from RNAcentral.